RNAcentral lists this ribosomal RNA (253 nucleotides) under uncultured bacterium. RNAcentral's name for it is "partial 16S ribosomal RNA". It matches the Rfam family "Bacterial small subunit ribosomal RNA", at positions 524 to 776 of the family's 1533-position model. The record is from RNAcentral.
UACGUAGGGUGCGAGCGUUGUCCGGAAUUAUUGGGCGUAAAGAGCUCGUAGGCGGUCUGUCGCGUCUGCUGUGAAAACUCGGGGCUCAACCCCGAGCCUGCAUUCGAUACGGGCAGACUAGAGUUCGGUAGGGGAGACUGGAAUUCCUGGUGUAGCGGUGAAAUGCGCAGAUAUCAGGAGGAACACCGGUGGCGAAGGCGGGUCUCUGGGCCGAUACUGACGCUGAGGAGCGAAAGCGUGGGGAGCGAACAGG